CGGACGGGGGAGUAAUGUCUGGGAAACUGCCUGAUGAGGGGGGUAACGUACUGGAAACGGUAGCUAAUACCGCAUAACGUCGCAAGACCAAAGAGGGGGACCUUCGGGCCUCUUGCCAUCGGAUGUGCCCAGAUGGGAUUAGCUAGUAGGUGGGGUAACGGCUCACCUAGGCGACGAUCCCUAGCUGGUCUGAGAGGAUGACCAGCCACACUGGAACUGAGACACGGUCCAG
Molecule: ribosomal RNA, 232 nt
Filed under: uncultured bacterium
Lineage: Bacteria
Description: partial 16S ribosomal RNA
Rfam family: Bacterial small subunit ribosomal RNA
Source: RNAcentral